This 453-nucleotide ribosomal RNA is filed under the name uncultured bacterium. RNAcentral describes it as "bacterial SSU rRNA". It matches the Rfam family "Bacterial small subunit ribosomal RNA", at positions 28 to 492 of the family's 1533-position model. The record is from RNAcentral.
GAUGAACGCUAGCGGCAGGCUUAAUACAUGCAAGGCGAAGGGGCAGCAAUGUCACUGUCGUACGGGUGCGUAACGCGUAUGCAACCUACCCAUCACUGGGGGAUAGCCCGGGGAAACCCGGAUUAAUACCGCAUAAACAGGGGCACCGCAUGGUGAUAUUUGUUAAAGAUUUAUUGGUGAUAGAUGGGCAUGCGUUCGAUUAGCUAGUUGGCGGGGUAACGGCCCACCAAGGCGACGAUCGAUAGGGGAGCUGAGAGGUUGAUCCCCCACACGGGCACUGAGAUACGGGCCCGACUCCUACGGGAGGCAGCAGUAGGGAAUAUUGGGCAAUGGAUGCAAGUCUGACCCAGCAUGCCGNGUGCCGGAUGAAGGCCCUCAGGGUUGUAAACGGCUUUUUAUUCGGGAAGAAGAGCAGGGAUGCGUCCUUGUGUGACGGUACCGAAUGAAUAAGCA